Phalaenopsis equestris is the source of this 2435-nucleotide RNA transcript. It is a transcript of the gene named integrator complex subunit 9 homolog, with no coding region annotated. Lineage: Eukaryota; Viridiplantae; Streptophyta; Magnoliopsida; Asparagales; Orchidaceae. The transcript has 12 exons. The record is from RefSeq and is a predicted model, not a curated record.
AUUUAAUUUUGAUUAAUAGCCUCGAGUGUUCCCUUCCAAGAUCGUUAGGGUGAAGAGAUUUUGCAGAGCCGGUCUUCUCCGAUUCUGCAAUGAAGCUGACAUGUUUGAGCAAAGGGAGCGGUCUCCAUUACCCGCCCUGCCACAUGCUCGAGUUUUGCGGGCUUCGUCUCCUCCUCGAGUGCCCCAUUGAUCUCUCAGCCCUUAAUAUCUUCAGCCCGAUCUCAGCUAGCCAUGAGCUUGACCUAUCGGGCUUCAUCAGCGCCGAGCCGUGGUAUAAAACAGCUAAGAACUUGCAUCUAUGGGAUGUGUCCCUCAUCGAUGUCGUUCUCAUCUCCUCGCCCGCUGGGAUGCUUGGGAUGCCAUUUCUUACGCGAAACCCAAGAUUUUCCGCUAAGAUAUAUGCUACGGAGGCGACAAUGAAGAUUGGGCGUUUCAUGAUGGAUGAUCUUAUAUCAAUGCAUUCAGAGUACGUCAUGUUUUAUGGUCAUGAUGAGAAGACCAGUUUUCCAGACUGGAUGGGGUGGGAAGAACUAGGAAGGCUUUCUUUGAAGGCAAAGGAGGUUGUGAUGGGAGAAGAUGGGGAAGAGCUUGGUUGUUGGCUUCCCUUGUACAGUGCAGCAGAUGUUGACAUCUGCAUGGAGAAGAUCCAACCUCUUAAAUAUGCUGAAGAAGCUUGCUAUAACUCUAUAUUAGUGUUGAAAGCGUUUAGUUCAGGUUUGGAUAUUGGAAGCUGUAAUUGGAGAAUAAAUUCUCCAAGAAGGAACUUUGUUUAUCUUUCGACUUCCAUUUUUGAGUCUCCAAUAGCAAUUGAUUUUGAUUAUCGUUCACUUGAGGGAGCCGAUAUACUUUUGUUUUCUGACAUGUCUGCUAUAAAUGAUAUUGAAGAAGAAUGUAAUCUCAUUGGUGGGAGUCAAAGUGAUUUAAAUAAGGAUGAUAAAGAUUUGCAUGUGGGUAAUGCAUCUAUCCCCAGGGCAUGUUUGGCUGAGGAUGAACUUUCUGAAUUUUUGGCGGACAACUGUGAAAUUUUAGAAGAGAAUGACAAAAUGAGUUUUAUAACUUCUUAUAUUGUAGACUCUGUGAGGGAAGGAGGUUCUGUAUUGAUUCCAAUAGGUCAACUUGGAACAGUGCUUCAGCUUUUGGAGCAGAUUUCUGACUUGCUAAAAUCUCUUAGCUUGGAGGUACCUAUAUUUAUAGUCUCCACAACUGCGGAGCAGACACUGGCAUUUACUAAUGCUAUUCCGGAAUGGCUUUGUAAAAAGCGCCAACAAAAGCUAUUCUGCGGUCAACCUUUAUUUGGUCAUGCUGAGCUAAUAACAGAGAAAAAGCUUCAUGUGUUCCCUUUGCUUUACUCGUCAGAUUUACUAUUGGCAUGGCAAGAGCCUUGCAUAGUGUUCGCGCCUCAUUGGUCUCUUAGGCUGGGCCCUGCUAUUCAUCUACUCAGCCGUUGGCAUGCAGAUUCCAGGUGUUUGCUUAUUCUGCAGCAAGGAAUAGAUGCUGAAGUAGCGCUGUUGCCAUUCAAGACUGUUUUGAUGAGGGUUCUCGAAUGUUCAUUUAUUUCUGGGAUUCAGAAGCACAAAAUAUUUCCUCUGCUAAGCUUCCUCCAUCCAAAGCUUGUUCUGUUCCCGGAAGAUUUAAGGCCACUUUGUACCUCUCAACCCAACAUCUCAUUUUCACUCUUAUUUUACUCUGUAAACUCAACUCUACGGGUCCCGAGUCUGCAAAACAAUUUCGAAGGACGUUUAGCAACAGACCUCGUGUUUCAGUUACAACCCAGAAGAUUAUAUUCGAAAGAAAUGGCCAUUGCUAGGCUAAUAGGGAAGCUUGUUCUAAGCAGAGGGAAAUAUCUCUUGGUCUCUCCGAAGAAGCCAAUCUAUCUUCCCAGUUUGAGAAUACUUUUAUGGGGUUCUGUAGAUGCUGCUAGUCUGCUGGUAGCUUUGAAAGAGAAGGGAAUAGAUUGCUCUAUAGAGAAUGAGGUUGCCGGUUCAUAUGACCAUACUCAGUCUGUUCGCAUCAGAGUGUCUGAGAAGGCUGUGAUUGAAACAAACGAGACCAAAACUGUGAUUUGCACAGAAAAUGAGGUAACAGCUGGUCUGAUUCAUGAGGCCCUUGGCAGCAUUUGUGAUGGAAUUUGACCGAUUAGUAAUUGAGGACACAGGUUUUAAAGAUGAUGGAGAAGAUUGAUGUUACUUUCGAUCCUCUGCAUAGAACAGCAUCGGUCUAGCUUUAUGUUCUUAAAAAGGAUGGAGACACCAAGAAAAUUCUUUGUUAAAAAAUGUUCUUAAAAUAAAUUUUAAAUGGGGUUCUGAAUAAGUUCUAACCUCACAUUAAGGGUUUGAACUAUAUUGAAACGAGCGCAUGACUGCAGAGUAUAUAUAAUUGUAAGUCUUCAUGUCCCACUGAGAUAUUUCUUAUGUGAUGCAUGUAAUCACUAAGGA